Molecule: ribosomal RNA, 497 nt
Filed under: uncultured bacterium
Lineage: Bacteria
Description: partial 16S ribosomal RNA
Rfam family: Bacterial small subunit ribosomal RNA
Source: RNAcentral
GAUGAACGCUGGCGGCGUGCCUAAUACAUGCAAGUCGAGCGAACGGACGCGAAGCUUGCUUUUUUGAUGUUAGCGGCGGACGGGUGUGAAACACGUGUAUAACCUACCUAUAAGACUGGUAUAACUUCGGGAAACCGGAGCUAAUACCGGAGAAUAUUUUGAACCGCAGGGUUCAAAAGUGAAAGACGGUCUUGCUGGCACUUAUAGAUGGAUCCGCGCUGCAUUAGCUAGUUGGUAAGGUAACGGCUUAGCACGGCAACGAUGCAUAGCCGACCUGUGAGGGUGGUCGGCCACCCUGGAGCUGAGACACGGUCCAGACUCCUACGGGAGGCAGCAGUAGGCAAUCUUCCGCAGUGGGCGAGAGCCUGACGGAGCGACGCCGCGUCAGUGAUGAAGAUCUUCGGAUCGUAAAACUCUGUUAUGGGGGAAAAACACAUUUGUAAGUAACUGUGCACAUCUUGACGGUACCUAGUCAGAAAGCCCCGGCUAACUACGUG